Molecule: small nucleolar RNA, 82 nt
Filed under: Myotis lucifugus (little brown bat)
Lineage: Eukaryota; Metazoa; Chordata; Mammalia; Chiroptera; Vespertilionidae
Description: Small nucleolar RNA SNORA42/SNORA80 family (ENSMLUG00000025588.1)
Source: RNAcentral
GCAUGCCAGAGCAAACUGUGGCCUUGAACCAUUGCCCGGCCUCUGCCUGCAGGCUACAGGCACUGAGGCAGAUUGCACAGUG